RNAcentral lists this non-coding RNA (24 nucleotides) under Arabidopsis thaliana (thale cress). The record is from RNAcentral. Lineage: Eukaryota; Viridiplantae; Streptophyta; Magnoliopsida; Brassicales; Brassicaceae.
GUAUCCUGCUGCAUUGCCAUGGCU